GAACGUCGUGAGACAGUUCGGUCCCUAUCUAUCGUGGGCGCAGGAAAUUUGAGGGGUGCUGUCCCUAGUACGAGAGGACCGGGAUGGACAAACCAAUGGUGCACCAGUUGUCACGCCAGUGGCACGGCUGGAUAGCUAAGUUUGGACGGGAUAAACGCUGAAAGCAUCUAAGUGUGAAACCCGCCCCAAGAUGAGAUUUCCCACAGCAAUGGUAAGACCCCAAGUAGACUACUUGGUUGAUAGGCCGGAAGUGUAAGCACAGCAAUGUGUUCAGCCAACCGGUACUAAUCGGUCGAGGACUUGACCACAA
The sequence is a ribosomal RNA, 310 nucleotides long. It matches the Rfam family "Bacterial large subunit ribosomal RNA", at positions 2614 to 2925 of the family's 2925-position model.